Molecule: ribosomal RNA, 505 nt
Filed under: uncultured bacterium
Lineage: Bacteria
Description: partial 16S ribosomal RNA
Rfam family: Bacterial small subunit ribosomal RNA
Source: RNAcentral
GACGAACGCUGGCGGCGUGCCUAAUACAUGCAAGUCGAACGCACAGUUUAUACCGUAGCUUGCUACACCAUAGACUGUGAGUUGCGAACGGGUGAGUAACGCGUAGGUAACCUGCCUGGUAGCGGGGGAUAACUAUUGGAAACGAUAGCUAAUACCGCCUAAUAUUAAUUAUUGCAUGAUAAUUAAUUGAAAGGUGCAAUUGCACCACUACCAGAUGGACCUGCGUUGUAUUAGCUAGUAGGUGAGGUAACGGCUCACCUAGGCGACGAUACAUAGCCGACCUGAGAGGGUGAUCGGCCAGACUGGGACGGAGACACGGCCCAGACGCCUACGGGAGGCAGCAGUAGGGAAUCUUCGGCAAGGGACGAAAGUCUGACCGAGCAACGCCGCGGGAGGGAAGAAGGUUGUCGGAUCGGAAAGCUCGGUUGUAAGAGAAGAACGGGUGUGAGAGUGGAAAGUUCACACUGUGACGGCAUCUGACCAGAAAGGGACGGCUAACUACGUG